AGGUUUUGGAGAUUUUAGAAGAUUGUGAAGGGAAAACUUUGAAGUUCAUUAGUGAAGUUGAAGAGAAGGAUGGAAAGCUGUGGUUCGGGUCAGUUCUAAUGCCGUUCGUCGGUGUUUAUGAACCCAAGUAGGCUCAUCUUAAGCUAUUUCUCGAAACACGAUUCGAGUAGAUAGUUCACUCUUGCUUCUUCUUGUAAUUUUAGUUUUCCUUUCUGAAAUAGAGCAG
This 226-nucleotide unclassified non-coding RNA is filed under the name Hevea brasiliensis (rubber tree). Lineage: Eukaryota; Viridiplantae; Streptophyta; Magnoliopsida; Malpighiales; Euphorbiaceae. The record is from RNAcentral.